GAGUUUGAUCCUGGCUCAGAUUGAACGCUGGCGGUAGGCUUAACACAUGCAAGUCGAGCGAGAAAGCCCUUCGGGGUGAGUACAGCGGCGGACGGGUGAGUAACGCGUAGGAAUCUACCCAGUAGUGGGGGACAACAGUCGGAAACGGCUGCUAAUACCGCAUACGCCCUACGGGGGAAAGCGGGGGACCUUCGGGCCUCGCGCUAUUGGAUGAGCCUGCGUAAGAUUAGCUAGUUGGUGAGGUAAAGGCUCACCAAGGCGACGAUCUUUAGCUGGUCUGAGAGGAUGAUCAGCCACACUGGAACUGAGACACGGUCCAGACUCCUACGGGAGGCAGCAGUGGGGAAUAUUGCACAAUGGGGGAAACCCUGAUGCAGCCAUGCCGCGUGUGUGAAGAAGGCCCUAGGGUUGUAAAGCACUUUCAAUUGGGAGGAAAAGCUUGUCGUUAAUAGCGGCAAGCCCUGACGUUACCUUUAGAAGAAGCACCGGCUAACUCCGUGCCAGCAGCCGCGGUAAUACGGAGGGUGCGAGCGUUAAUCGGAAUUACUGGGCGUAAACCGCCUGUAGGCGGCUUGUUAAGUCGGAUGUGAAAGCCCCGGGCUUAACCUGGGAACUGCAUCCGAUACUGGGCGACUAGAGUACGAGAGAGGGGGGUAGAAUUCCACGUGUAGCGGUGAAAUGCGUAGAUAUGUGGAGGAACAUCAGUGGCGAAGGCGGCAGCCUGGCCCAAUACUGACGCUGAGGUGCGAAAAGCGUGGGGAGCAAACAGGAUUAGAUACCCUGGUAGUCCACGCCGUAAACGAUGUCUACUAGCCGUUGGGGGACUUGAUCCCUUAGUGGCGCAGCUAACGCACUAAGUAGACCGCCUGGGGAGUACGGACGCAAGUUUAAAACUCAAAUGAAUUGACGGGGGCCCGCACAAGCGGUGGAGCAUGUGGUUUAAUUCGAUGCAACGCGAAGAACCUUACCAGGUCUUGACAUCCCGAGAAUUUACUAGAGAUAGUUUAGUGCCUUCGGGAACUCGGUGACAGGUGCUGCAUGGCUGUCGUCAGCUCGUGUCGUGAGAUGUUGGGUUAAGUCCCGUAACGAGCGCAACCCUUGUCCUUAGUUGCCAGCACGUAAUGGUGGGAACUCUAAGGAGACUGCCGGUGACAAACCGGAGGAAGGUGGGGACGACGUCAAAUCAUCACGGCCCUUACGUCCAGGGCUACACACGUGCUACAAUGGACGGUACAGAGGGUUGCCAAGCCGCGAGGUGGAGCUAAUCCCAUAAAACCGUUCGUAGUCCGGAUUGGAGUCUGCAACUCGACUCCAUGAAGUCGGAAUCGCUAGUAAUCGUGAAUCAGAAUGUCACGGUGAAUACGUUCCCGGGCCUUGUACACACCGCCCGUCACACCAUGGGAGUGGAUUGCACCAGAAGUAGUUAGUCUAACCUUCGGGAGGACGAUUACCACGGUGUGGUUCAUGACUGGGGUGAAGUCGGAACAAGGUA
This 1492-nucleotide ribosomal RNA is filed under the name uncultured prokaryote. Its description in RNAcentral is "partial 16S ribosomal RNA". It matches the Rfam family "Bacterial small subunit ribosomal RNA". The record is from RNAcentral.